This 71-nucleotide transfer RNA is filed under the name Loxodonta africana (African savanna elephant). It matches the Rfam family "tRNA". From Rfam's summary of the family: Transfer RNA (tRNA) molecules are approximately 80 nucleotides in length. The record is from Rfam by way of RNAcentral. Lineage: Eukaryota; Metazoa; Chordata; Mammalia; Proboscidea; Elephantidae.
GCGGUGGUAGUUCAGUAGCAGAAUUCUCACUUCCCAUGUGGGAGACCCAGGUUCGAUUCCUGGCCAACACA